RNAcentral lists this ribosomal RNA (973 nucleotides) under uncultured bacterium. RNAcentral's name for it is "bacterial SSU rRNA". It matches the Rfam family "Bacterial small subunit ribosomal RNA", at positions 72 to 1045 of the family's 1533-position model. The record is from RNAcentral.
AAAGUAGCUUGCUACUUUGCUGACGAGCGGCGGACGGGUGAGUAAUGCUUGGGAACAUGCCUUGAGGUGGGGGACAACAGUUGGAAACGACUGCUAAUACCGCAUAAUGUCUACGGACCAAAGGGGGCUUCGGCUCUCGCCUUUAGAUUGGCCCAAGUGGGAUUAGCUAGUUGGUGAGGUAAUGGCUCACCAAGGCGACGAUCCCUAGCUGGUUUGAGAGGAUGAUCAGCCACACUGGGACUGAGACACGGCCCAGACUCCUACGGGAGGCAGCAGUGGGGAAUAUUGCACAAUGGGCGCAAGCCUGAUGCAGCCAUGCCGCGUGUGUGAAGAAGGCCUUCGGGUUGUAAAGCACUUUCAGUCAGGAGGAAAGGUUAGUAGUUAAUACCUGCUAGCUGUGACGUUACUGACGGAAGAAGCACCGGCUAACUCCGUGCCAGCAGCCACGGUAAUACGGAGGGUGCGAGCGUUAAUCGGAAUUACUGGGCGUAAAGCGUACGCAGGCGGUUUGUUAAGCGAGAUGUGAGAGCCCCGGGCUCAACCUGGGAACCGCAUUUCGAACUGGCAAACUAGAGUGUGAUAGAGGGUGGUAGAAUUUCAGGUGUAGCGGUGAAAUGCGUAGAGAUCUGAAGGAAUACCGAUGGCGAAGGCAGCCACCUGGGUCAACACUGACGCUCAUGUACGAAAGCGUGGGGAGCAAACAGAAUUAGAUACCCUGGUAGUCCACGCCGUAAACGAUGUCUACUAGAAGCUCGGAACCUCGGUUCUGUUUUUCAAAGCUAACGCAUUAAGUAGACCGCCUGGGGAGUACGGCCGCAAGGUUAAAACUCAAAUGAAUUGACGGGGGCCCGCACAAGCGGUGGAGCAUGUGGUUUAAUUCGAUGCAACGCGAAGAACCUUACCUACACUUGACAUACAGAGAACUUACCAGAGAUGGUUUGGUGCCUUCGGGAACUCUGAUACAGGUGCUGCA